This 492-nucleotide ribosomal RNA is filed under the name uncultured bacterium. RNAcentral describes it as "partial 16S ribosomal RNA". It matches the Rfam family "Bacterial small subunit ribosomal RNA", at positions 29 to 507 of the family's 1533-position model. The record is from RNAcentral.
AGUGAACGCUGGCGGUAGGCCUAACACAUGCAAGUCGAACGGCAGCACAGUAAGAGCUUGCUCUUACGGGUGGCGAGUGGCGGAUGGGUGAGGAAUACAUCGGAAUCUACUUUUUCGUGGGGGAUAACGUAGGGAAACUUACGCUAAUACCGCAUACGACCUACGGGUGAAAGCAGCGGAUCUUCGGACCUUGCGCGAUUGAAUGAGCCGAUGUCGGAUUAGCUAGUUGGCGGGGUAAAGGCCCACCAAGGCGACGAUCCGUAGCUGGUCUGAGAGGAUGAUCAGCCACACUGGAACUGAGACACGGUCCAGACUCCUACGGGAGGCAGCAGUGGGGAAUAUUGGACAAUGGGCGCAAGCCUGAUCCAGCCAUACCGCGUGGGUGAAGAAGGCCUUCGGGUUGUAAAGCCCUUUUGUUGGGAAAGAAAAGCAGCAGGUUAAUACCCCGCUGUUCUGACGGUACCCAAAGAAUAAGCACCGGCUAACUUCGUG